RNAcentral lists this ribosomal RNA (338 nucleotides) under uncultured bacterium. RNAcentral describes it as "bacterial SSU rRNA". It matches the Rfam family "Bacterial small subunit ribosomal RNA", at positions 28 to 346 of the family's 1533-position model. The record is from RNAcentral.
GAUGAACGCUGGCGGCGUGCUUAACACAUGCAAGUCGAACGAAGCACUUUAAUUGAUUUCUUCGGAAUGAAGUUUUUGUGACUGAGUGGCAGACGGGUGAGUAACGCGUGGGUAACCUGCCUCAUACAGGGGGAUAACAGUUGGAAACGACUGCUAAUACCGCAUAAGCGCACAGGAUUGCAUGAUCCAGUGUGAAAAACUCCGGUGGUAUGAGAUGGACCCGCGUCUGAUUAGCCAGUUGGCGGGGUAACGGCCCACCAAAGCGACGAUCAGUAGGGGUUCUGAGAGGAAGGUCCCCCACGAUUGGAACUGAGACACGGUCCAAAACUCCUACGGGA